Molecule: small RNA, 405 nt
Filed under: Arabidopsis thaliana (thale cress)
Lineage: Eukaryota; Viridiplantae; Streptophyta; Magnoliopsida; Brassicales; Brassicaceae
Description: ATSL186540
Source: RNAcentral
UAUUUUUUACUUUUUUUGAAAACAGAGAAGAUUUUCGAGAUUUUGCAAGAAUUUGUUUUGAAGAGUUUGGAGAUAAAGUUAAGAUGUGGACAACAAUCAACGAACCUUAUAUAAUGACUGUUGCGGGUUAUGAUCAAGGUAACAAGGCGGCUGGACGAUGCUCAAAAUGGGUAAACGAAAAGUGUCAGGCUGGAGAUUCGAGUACCGAGCCUUACAUUGUUUCACAUCACACUCUUCUUGCCCAUGCCGCUGCAGUGGAAGAAUUUCGAAAAUGUGAAAAAACUUCGCAUGAUGGCCAAAUUGGGAUAGUACUAUCACCAAGAUGGUUCGAGCCUUAUCAUUCCGAUUCAACUGACGAUAAAGAAGCAGCUGAACGAGCUCUUGCCUUUGAAAUUGGAUGGUAAG